UUUUUUUUUUUGUUUUAUCCUUUCUGGAAUUUGCAGUCUUAUUACAAUCACUGUUGCGAUUGUUAGUUCCUUAAUUUGCAGUGUUUUUUGGUGCAAAUUUUGAGGGAUUUCGCCACACCAUUCUUACAAGCUUCAGUCUUUCACCAGAUGAACAAGUAAGAAGAUGAACUUUCUCAUGCCAACCCAUACUCAUAAACAUCUCCACGACUAUUUUUAUGGCUCUUAGCUCGGCCUUUCCCAAUCUCGUAGCCUCAAUCGGCCUAGAGAACAUAGC
This 274-nucleotide long non-coding RNA is filed under the name Gossypium raimondii (Peruvian cotton). RNAcentral's name for it is "long non-coding RNA (GRAI_LNC009783)". Lineage: Eukaryota; Viridiplantae; Streptophyta; Magnoliopsida; Malvales; Malvaceae. The record is from RNAcentral.